RNAcentral lists this ribosomal RNA (426 nucleotides) under uncultured bacterium. Its description in RNAcentral is "bacterial SSU rRNA". It matches the Rfam family "Bacterial small subunit ribosomal RNA", at positions 77 to 537 of the family's 1533-position model. The record is from RNAcentral.
CAAUCUUGUGANUCCNGUGGCGUACGGGUGAGUAACACGUGGAUCAUCUACCUUUUAGUGGGGAAUACCCCUGGGAAACCGGGGACAAUACCGCAUAAGCUCGUGAGAGGAAAGCAGCAAUGCGCUGAAAGAGGAGUCCGCGGCUGAUUAGCUAGUUGGCGGGGUAACGGCCCACCAAGGCGAAGAUCGGUAGCCGGCCUGAGAGGGCACACGGCCACACUGGCACUGAAACACGGGCCAGACUCCUACGGGAGGCAGCAGUGGGGAAUCUUGCACAAUGGAGGAAACUCUGAUGCAGCGACGCCGCGUGAGCGAUGAAGCCCUUCGGGGUGUAAAGCUCUUUCGACGGGAACGAUAAUGACGGUACCCGAAGAAGAAGCUGCGGCUAACUACGUGCCAGCAGCCGCGGUAAUACGUAGGCAGCGA